GAUGAAGAACGUAGCGAAAUGCGAUAAGUAGUGUGAAUUGCAGAAUUCAGUGAAUCAUCGAAUCUUUGAACGCACAUUGCGCCCCUUGGUAUUCCAUGGGGCAUGCCUGUUCGAGCGUCAUUUCAACCCUCGAGCCCCCCCGGGGGCCUCGGUGUUGGGGGACGGCACACCAGCCGCCCCCGAAAUGCAGUGGCGACCCCGCCGCAGCCUCCCCUGCGUAGUAGCACACACCUCGCACCGGAGCGCGGAGGCGGUCACGCCGUAAAACGCCCAACUUUCUUAGAGUUGACCUCGGAUCAGGUAGGAAUACCCGCUGAACUUAAGCAUAUCAAUAAGCGGAGGA
RNAcentral lists this unclassified non-coding RNA (343 nucleotides) under soil metagenome. RNAcentral describes it as "partial contains 5.8S ribosomal RNA, internal transcribed spacer 2, and large subunit ribosomal RNA". The stretch from base 1 to 120 matches the Rfam family "5.8S ribosomal RNA", at positions 35 to 154 of the family's 154-position model. The record is from RNAcentral.